Molecule: long non-coding RNA, 968 nt
Organism: Mizuhopecten yessoensis (Yesso scallop)
Lineage: Eukaryota; Metazoa; Mollusca; Bivalvia; Pectinida; Pectinidae
Exons: 5
Source: RefSeq, a predicted model, not a curated record
AUAACUAUUAACCUAGAUAAACCAGUAGUGGUAUCAUCGGCGGAUCUCGUCCAGGUUAUAUAACCAAAAUAUACUACCGAAUAAAAACAACACGAAGGACAACAACCUAGUCACAUCAUGGUCCAUUUAGCGCUGACAUCACUAGCAGUUGUACUGUGUGCGACGCUUGCCUUUGCUGACUAUGGCUACUCAGGAUACGGAAACCAUGGAUACGGGAAACAAUCCUAUUCGGGAUAUUCGGUGGAAUCCGUGAACAGCCAAAGUUUUUAUUCUCCAUAUUCCGCCCCGUAUCCAAUCGAUCUUGGGUACACGAACUGUGGUUUAUUGGAUGUGAACUGCGGGAACGGCAGGAAUGUUGUCAUAAUAUUGUUGGUGCCUCUCCUCCUUCUGUUGUCUCAAUUCAAUAGCGGGUAGACUGAGGAUGGUCUGGAUUAUUGAUGUCCGUACAGCUCCGACCCCGAGUACUUCUACUACAUUUACUACGGUAUAGCAUUUGAUGAACUGUGAUGUUGAAACUUUAAAGAUAAAUACCGACAUUACAAUAAAAUUAUCAUUUGACUUAUGGCAUUAUUUGCGACAUAAAUUGUAUUGUGUUUAUCAAAAAGAAAUUGAGCUAGUUGCUUUUGUUUUGACACAAUUUACAUGAAUUUUGUGCAUAAAUGUACCAUGUUGCAGUCAUUUACGAUCACUUGCAGCACUAGCAUACUGUUGUAUAACGUAACACUACCAAAUGAAUCACACGAAUAAAGAUAUAUACAUAACCAUUCGGAAAUAAGGCCAUGCAUAGAGAUGAACUGUUAAUAUAUAUCAACCACAAAUGCAUAUUAACAUGAAUAUUCAACAAUGACGCAUGAGGUCAAUUGAGAUAUACAAUUUUAUAAUGAAUUAUUAAGCUUAACAUGCAAGCCCUGUAACAACAUUAUGUUAAUAUCUCAUUGUGAUAUCAUGUCUAAUAUUUUAAGUUUGAU